RNAcentral lists this ribosomal RNA (521 nucleotides) under uncultured bacterium. Its description in RNAcentral is "bacterial SSU rRNA". It matches the Rfam family "Bacterial small subunit ribosomal RNA", at positions 988 to 1509 of the family's 1533-position model. The record is from RNAcentral.
CCAGAGAACUUAGCAGAGAUGCUUUGGUGCCUUCGGGAACUCUGAGACAGGUGCUGCAUGGCUGUCGUCAGCUCGUGUUGUGAAAUGUUGGGUUAAGUCCCGCAACGAGCGCAACCCUUAUCCUUUGUUGCCAGCGGCUCGGCCGGGAACUCAAAGGAGACUGCCGGUGAUAAACCGGAGGAAGGUGGGGAUGACGUCAAGUCAUCAUGGCCCUUACGGCCAGGGCUACACACGUGCUACAAUGGCGCAUACAAAGAGAAGCGACCUCGCGAGAGCAAGCGGACCUCAUAAAGUGCGUCGUAGUCCGGAUUGGAGUCUGCAACUCGACUCCAUGAAGUCGGAAUCGCUAGUAAUCGUAGAUCAGAAUGCUACGGUGAAUACGUUCCCGGGCCUUGUACACACCGCCCGUCACACCAUGGGAGUGGGUUGCAAAGGAAGUAGGUAGCUUAACCUUCGGGAGGGCGCUUACCACUUUGUGAUUCAUGACUGGGGUGAAGUCGUAACAAGGUAAGCGUAGCGAG